RNAcentral lists this non-coding RNA (181 nucleotides) under Clostridium collagenovorans. The record is from RNAcentral. Lineage: Bacteria; Bacillati; Bacillota; Clostridia; Eubacteriales; Clostridiaceae. RNAcentral also lists the same sequence under 1 other name.
UUGAAUAAGGAUGUUUUUGGUACUCUAUCAAGAGUUUAAUAGGGAAAAUGGUGAAAUACCAUUACAGCCCCCGCUACUGUAAGCGAAUACAAAGUGAUAUACCCACUGGAAUUUAUAUUCUGGGAAGGAUCACGGAGGAUAAGUCGCAAGUCAGGAGACCUGCCUAAAGCAUACAUACAUA